GGUGGCCUAGUGGUUAAAGCAUCCGCCUCGAAUGCGAACGGUCGUGGAUUCGAUCCCCGGCCAUAUCAUACCA
This is a non-coding RNA of Potamilus streckersoni, 73 nucleotides long. The record is from the annotation of a GenBank genome assembly. Lineage: Eukaryota; Metazoa; Mollusca; Bivalvia; Unionida; Unionidae.